GGAUGCGAUCAUACCAGCACUAAAGCAUCGGAUCCCAUUAGAACUCCGAAGUUAAGCGUGCUUGGACGGGAGUAGUACUAUGAUGGGUGACCUACAGGGAAGUCCUCGUGUUACAUUCC
This is a non-coding RNA of Triticum aestivum (bread wheat), 119 nucleotides long. The record is from Rfam. Lineage: Eukaryota; Viridiplantae; Streptophyta; Magnoliopsida; Poales; Poaceae.